CAAAAUCUGGCUUAACUCCGGCGAGGAUUUCGGUGAGAGCUCCGGCGCCGUCACCAUCGUCGACCACCGCGCACGGUGGCCGAAAAUCCUAAAGUGACCCUUUUUUAAACCGUCUUAACCCCGGGGACUCCGAUCUAUCCUUAAAACUCGCUAAAAGCCUUCAAAGAUCGGAGGAAGACCGAAAAACCCCUCGGUUUCUUCUUCUCCGGCCGUCAGCAAGGUAAGUCUUUUCCUUUUUCUUUUUAUUCUUUCACGUAUAUAGGAAGUAAAACGGAGAAAAACAAUAAAAGAGAGAAAAAACCUAAUCACCUUAAAAGAAACUGAUCUUUUCUUUUAUUUUUGUAUCCUUUUACACUGAAAAAAACCCUUUUUACAGAUUUUCCCCAUCCCCAUUUUACAAAUUUUCUAUGGCUUUAAAUAGCCGAAAAUAAUAAUGCAAAUCCCCUCUUUUUCGUUAUUCUGAUAUUGUCAUCUGUUGUUUGUUGCUGUAGGUUCAACAUGCGCGACGUGCGCGGGGCGGGGAGGAUCGUCGCACGUGGAGGAGGCUUGCUCCGAUCCUUGCGGCGGCUGGAAAGGGAGGCUCCUAGGGUUUCUGUUUUUUGGUUAAGCUUUGGGCUAGGUUUAGUUUGGGUCAGGUGUUGGGCCAUUCUAGGUUUAGUUGGGUCUGUUUAUUGGUUUGGGCCCGGGCAUUAU
This 693-nucleotide long non-coding RNA is filed under the name Gossypium barbadense (sea-island cotton). Its description in RNAcentral is "long non-coding RNA (GBAR_LNC019772)". Lineage: Eukaryota; Viridiplantae; Streptophyta; Magnoliopsida; Malvales; Malvaceae. The record is from RNAcentral.